AAAAUUUAAAUUAAAAUACUAAAAUAGUAAAUAAAUAUUUAUUAAAACUUAAAUAAUUUGGCGGUAUUUUAGUUCAUUUAGAGGAAUCUGUUUAAUAAUUGAUAUUCCACGAAUAAAUUUACUUAAUUUAUAAUUUUGUAUAUCGUUGUUAUAAAAAUAUUUUUUAAUAAAAUUAAUAUUUAAAAUUUAUUAUAUGAAUUUAAAUCAAAUCAAGAUGCAGAUUAUAAUUAAGAAUAUAAUGGAUUACAAUAAAUUAAUUUAAAUGAAUAUUAAUUUGUAAAAAUUAAUUGAAAGUGGAUUUAAAUGUAAUUUUAUUUAGUUUAAUAAAAUGAUUAAAAAUUAAAAUAUGU
RNAcentral lists this ribosomal RNA (350 nucleotides) under Poeonoma acantha. RNAcentral's name for it is "partial 12S small subunit ribosomal RNA". Lineage: Eukaryota; Metazoa; Arthropoda; Insecta; Lepidoptera; Noctuidae. The record is from RNAcentral.